Molecule: long non-coding RNA, 2234 nt
Filed under: Mytilus galloprovincialis (Mediterranean mussel)
Lineage: Eukaryota; Metazoa; Mollusca; Bivalvia; Mytilida; Mytilidae
Source: RNAcentral
GGCAGACAUUUCAGUUACUGUUAUAGCAUUCGGUAAUAUAAUAAUUCAUAUACUUUUCCACUUUACUGAUUCAAAUGUUAGCUGAAUUAAGCCUUGUUUUUUAACAAUUCUAUCUUAUUGUACAUUUAAAGUAAAACCUAACAUUUAAGAUGUUUUGUUUUUUAGCAGUGGCAGGAACAGUGUCAUGCAUAUUAAGUCUUCACCGUGCAUCAGGUAGGUAUACAAAUUACUGUACUAUAGUAAUGCAGUUAGUCCUCAUGAAGGUCAGUAAUUUUAAGCUGCGUACACUCAAGUUUUCUCCACCUAUACAAACAGACAUUCCUAUAUAGCCUCAAAAUGUGAUCAAAAUAACAAGGUCAAUGUGCCUGUUUUCGAGAUAUUAGCUAUUGAAGUUUUUGGCGGGAAACUGUUCUCUCUUGAUUUUUCAUAGUUUAAUCAAGUUCAAGUUUUUAAAAAAAAUAAUAGAGUUUUUAAAAAAGCUGAUAAUUGUAUAUGUAAAUUAUUUAUAAAAAGAAAAGUGAGGGUUAAUGGGCAAAUUUAUUCAAAGCUAUCAAAUUCGAACUAUCGAAACAAAUAAAGUUUUGUUAAUUUAAUGGAAAUUAUGCAACGUCAUUAGUUCAGUCAAAAUCACUCAGUUUAAUGAGUUAAUCCAUAAUAUAAUAUUUAGAUUGCGACACUAUACUUCAGUGGUUAUGCAAUUUAAGGUCAUGAUAACCUUCGCAAAGUAUAUUUGAGUCUAGAUCUCUAAUUAUAUACGCAGGAUAUAAACAAUACUUGUACAAAAAUCUAAAAACAAAUGUUUUGAGAAAAUAAGGUCUCUUUAAUAGACCUUAAAUGAUUGGCAAAUGUUUAUACUGUUGUCAGAUAAAUAGUGUCUCAAGUCUCCAUAUAUCUUCUCUACUUUAUUCCAAAACUUAUAUGUUUUUUCUUUAUUAAAGCCAUAAUGUGCUAUGACUGUGAUGUAUUACCCCACCAAAGAGAUUGUACUAGGGUAACUAAGUGUGGUCCUGACGAGGUGAGUGAAAUUUUGGCGGAAAAAUGUACUCUCUUUAUUUUUCAUAGCAUUAUUAUUGACAAGUUACUGAGUGUGGUCCUGACCAGGUUAGUUAUCAUUACAUUUAGAUUCAUUAUAUCGCAGAUUUGGAUAAUAGAUAGGAUCAUUUACAAUUUUCAAUGAUUUUUUAAGUAAGCCGAAGCCCAACAUAUUUCAUAACAUGUAUUUUAAAAUAAUAAGCAGGAGUCGCUUUCACAAAAACACUUAUGACUUAGAUUGGUCUUUAGUCAUGAAAAAAUCAGUAUUCUAACAAUCAAUCUUUGUCGUAAGUGUUUUUGUGAAAUCGAAUCCAGUUCUUUAAAUCUUGAUCUUUAUGGCAAACGUGCCUUACCAGCGUAUAUUUAAGCAACAGUAGUUCCCAUAUUUUCAAAUCUUAUAAAAAUGAUACAAAUCCUGGUCAGAAACAAACAUUUGAGGAAAUUACAUGCGUAAAGAGAGGGGAAAGAUACAAGAGGAACAGUCAAACUGAUAUAUCGAAAAUAAACUAACAACGUCAUGGCAAAAAUAAUAAAAGACAAACACAAAUAAUAGUAAGCAAGACACAACAGAGGAAAUUAAAGACUGAGCAACACGAACUCCACCAUAGAUCAAAACACGCAAAAUGUCUAUAAACAUAACAUUGUUUAUAAACAACAUCGUAUAAAUUACUUGUGGUAACUAAAAUUUAAUUUUAAUGUUUUAUCUUAAAUUCUAAAGUUUUUAACUGUACAUAUUUUUUAAUAACGUGCGCCGAACUAAAUGAGUCAAUGUGAAUUUUUUAUAAAGUCCUAAAAUAAUAUUAAAUACUACUUUAGUAAAAUUAUAUUUACAUAUUAAUAAAAUAAUAUUCCAUAUUGAUAAAAUAAUAUUAUAUAAUAUUGCAUAUUAUAUAAUAAAUAAUGUUAUAUAAUAUUACAUAUUAUAUAGUUUUACAUAUUUAAUUGGUUAAUGAAUGCUAUGGUGAACUUGUGCAACAAACUUGAUUGGUUGAUUCAUUUUUUGUCCGGAUUUUUAUAUAACAUGUAAAUUACUAUAUGAACCGAGGAAAAAUCUGUUUUAUGUCAAAAAAUAAUUUUACAUAUCCAUGAUAUUAAUUAUGUUAUUCUAAUAAUUAAGGAAUGCUAUGGUGAACGUGUGCAAACACCUGAUGGGUUGAUCAAAUUCCAUUCAGGCUGUAUAAAGACAUCGGUAAAUCAUAUUU